GAUACAAAGGGCCUGGUUUCUGCAGAGAUAUAACUACGCACACAUGUAUCAAUCUCUACACAGUGUAGCAGACUCACUCAUAACAGAGUAGUAGCUAAGAUACAUGUAGCAAUAUGUAGUAAAUGGUGUCAUGCACCAGACCCCACAGGGUUAACACUCUGGUAUAGAAAUCGAAAGGAUAGAGGAGGUAAUAAAGUGAGAAUGAAAAAUAAAGUGAAAAUAACCUGUCAAAGGUAAUACAACAGUAGUUGAAGGUUAUAUCUAACCACAAGUAGCUCACUAAGCCCCACCACCUUAAUACAAGUGUCCAGAGCAACAAGAUAGCUCAAACAUUGGUG
Non-coding RNA from Pelobates cultripes (western spadefoot toad), 338 nucleotides. Lineage: Eukaryota; Metazoa; Chordata; Amphibia; Anura; Pelobatidae. The record is from the annotation of a GenBank genome assembly.